AUUGAACGCUGGCGGCAUGCCUUACACAUGCAAGUCGAACGGCAGCACGGGUGCUUGCACCUGGUGGCGAGUGGCGAACGGGUGAGUAAUACAUCGGAACAUGUCCUGUAGUGGGGGAUAGCCCGGCGAAAGCCGGAUUAAUACCGCAUACGAUCUACGGAUGAAAGCGGGGGACCUUCGGGCCUCGCGCUAUAGGGUUGGCCGAUGGCUGAUUAGCUAGUUGGUGAGGUAAAGGCCUACCAAGGCGACGAUCAGUAGCUGGUCUGAGAGGACGACCAGCCACACUGGGACUGAGACACGGCCCAGACUCCUACGGGAGGCAGCAGUGGGGAAUUUUGGACAAUGGGCGAAAGCCUGAUCCAGCAAUGCCGCGUGUGUGAAGAAGGCCUUCGGGUUGUAAAGCACUUUUGUCCGGAAAGAAAUCCUUGGCCCUAAUACGGUCGGGGGAUGACGGUACCGGAAGAAUAAGCACCGGCUAACUACGUG
RNAcentral lists this ribosomal RNA (486 nucleotides) under uncultured bacterium. RNAcentral describes it as "partial 16S ribosomal RNA". It matches the Rfam family "Bacterial small subunit ribosomal RNA", at positions 30 to 507 of the family's 1533-position model. The record is from RNAcentral.